This 721-nucleotide ribosomal RNA is filed under the name uncultured bacterium. RNAcentral's name for it is "bacterial SSU rRNA". It matches the Rfam family "Bacterial small subunit ribosomal RNA", at positions 398 to 1108 of the family's 1533-position model. The record is from RNAcentral.
CGCGUGAGUGAUGAAGGUUUUCGGAUCGUAAAACUCUGUUGUCAGGGAAGAACAAGUACCGGAGUAACUGCCGGUACCUUGACGGUACCUGACCAGAAAGCCACGGCUAACUACGUGCCAGCAGCCGCGGUAAUACGUAGGUGGCAAGCGUUGUCCGGAAUUAUUGGGCGUAAAGCGCGCGCAGGCGGUCUUUUAAGUCUGAUGUGAAAGCCCACGGCUCAACCGUGGAGGGUCAUUGGAAACUGGGGAACUUGAGUGCAGAAGAGAAGAGUGGAAUUCCACGUGUAGCGGUGAAAUGCGUAGAGAUGUGGAGGAACACCAGUGGCGAAGGCGACUCUUUGGUCUGUAACUGACGCUGAGGCGCGAAAGCGUGGGGAGCGAACAGGAUUAGAUACCCUGGUAGUCCACGCCGUAAACGAUGAGUGCUAAGUGUUAGAGGGUUUCCGCCCUUUAGUGCUGCAGCUAACGCAUUAAGCACUCCGCCUGGGGAGUACGGCCGCAAGGCUGAAACUCAAAGGAAUUGACGGGGGCCCGCACAAGCGGUGGAGCAUGUGGUUUAAUUCGAAGCAACGCGAAGAACCUUACCAGGUCUUGACAUCUCCUGACAAUCCUAGAGAUAGGACGUUCCCCUUCGGGGGACAGGAUGACAGGUGGUGCAUGGUUGUCGUCAGCUCGUGUCGUGAGAUGUUGGGUUAAAGUCCGCAACGAGCGCAACCCUUGA